GUGCCAGCAGCCGCGGUAAUACGUAGGGGGCAAGCGUUGCUCGGAAUCACUGGGCUUAAAGGGCGCGUAGGCGGUUGUGUAAGUCCAGGGUUGAAGGCCCCGGCUCAACCGGGGAAAGGCCUUGGAGACUGCAUGACUUGAGUGAGCGAGGGGAGGGCGGAAUUCCCGGUGGAGCGGUGAAAUGCGUAGAUAUCGGGAGGAACACCGGAGGCGAAGGCGGUCUUCUGGGCCACUCCUGACACUGAGGCACGAAAGCUAGGGGAGCGAACGGGAUUAGAUACCCCGGUAGUCCUAGCCGUAAACGAUGGGCACUAGAUGUUCCCACAUUUUGUGGGAGUGUCGAAGCUAACGCGUUAAGUGCCCCGCCUGGGGAGUACGGCCGCAAGGUUGAAACUCAAAUGAAUUGACGGGG
RNAcentral lists this ribosomal RNA (412 nucleotides) under uncultured prokaryote. RNAcentral's name for it is "bacterial SSU rRNA". It matches the Rfam family "Bacterial small subunit ribosomal RNA", at positions 505 to 918 of the family's 1533-position model. The record is from RNAcentral.